CAGCAGCCACGGUAACACGUAGGGUGCGAGCGUUAAUCGGAAUUACUGGGCGUAAAGCGUGCGCAGGCGGUUGUGUAAGACAGGUGUGAAAUCCCCGGGCUUAACCUGGGAACUGCGCUUGUGACUGCACAGCUAGAGUAUGGCAGAGGGGGGUGGAAUUCCACGUGUAGCAGUGAAAUGCGUAGAGAUGUGGAGGAACACCGAUGGCGAAGGCAGCCCCCUGGGCCAAUACUGACGCUCAUGCACGAAAGCGUGGGGAGCAAACAGGAUUAGAUACCCCCGUAGUCCCUGUCUCUUAUAC
This 301-nucleotide ribosomal RNA is filed under the name uncultured bacterium. RNAcentral describes it as "partial 16S ribosomal RNA". It matches the Rfam family "Bacterial small subunit ribosomal RNA", at positions 509 to 807 of the family's 1533-position model. The record is from RNAcentral.